Molecule: unclassified non-coding RNA, 236 nt
Filed under: uncultured Sordariomycetes
Lineage: Eukaryota; Fungi; Ascomycota; Sordariomycetes
Description: sequence contains ITS1
Source: RNAcentral
ACAAAUCUGAGUUGUGGGCGUGUGCACAUGCAUGUGUGCACACCGCCUGCACAUUUACCCCGAGCCGGCCUAAACAGCCGGCUUUGGUUUGGGCCUCCGGGCUCAAGGCGAUGGCUGUGCGCGUGGUAGGGCGCUUGCCCGCUUGCGGUGUGAGCGCCUCUUCUCCCACAGCCUAGCGCCACAUAGACGCUUGCUUUGUUUGACAGAGUUUCACAGUGUAUCACACACACAAAUGA